Molecule: long non-coding RNA, 5164 nt
Organism: Heterocephalus glaber (naked mole-rat)
Lineage: Eukaryota; Metazoa; Chordata; Mammalia; Rodentia; Bathyergidae
Source: RefSeq, a predicted model, not a curated record
UUUCUUCCUUCUUGUGUGCCUUCCUUUUUUCCUUCCAUUUUUCCUUCCUUUCAUAUGUGCAGUACUAGGCACCAAACCCAAGCCCGUGUUUAUGCUGGGUCAGGUCUCUGAGUUAUCCCCUUGUCCACCAAGUUUUUUUCUGGUUAGAAUGUAUUACAAGAAAUACAUCUCAGUCCCUUACCUCCUGCGAUUGUUUACUGUGUUGCUAACUAACGUAGGAUUUUCUUACCCCGUUGCGGAACGUUUACACUAUCUUGCCGCUUCUCAUUUUCUCCCUUCUGUUGUGCCUACCACAAGCUAGCACACUUUAUAAUUUAUAUAUAAAUAAUUGCAUAUAUAUAAUUUCAUGUUAUCUAUCCCGGUUUCUUGAGUAGAGUACAUUUCCAGUCAGGCAGCACUCUUUUCGCGUACUUUCUAUUUCCUGAUUUGUCCAGAUCCCUGUGACACAGCCGGCCACCCAGGAAGUGUCCAUGUGUAUCUGCUGGAGGAGAGAAUAAACAGCCAGCUCAGUGCCCUCUCUGUGCUCCCUUCAGGAAUCUCCUUUACCCGGCUUUCUGUCACCUCUUUCCAAGGAGGCAUUGGGCUCUCACGUGCAAUCCACAAAGGCUCGGCUGUGUGUGGAGACAUGGCCAGGGCACCAGCCCCAGAAGGACGCCUAGGCCAAGGGCCAGGGACACGUCCAUGCCGGCGGUUGGAGGGGGCCACAGGUAAAAAGAUAACUAUGUAAAGAGAUGAAUAUAUUAGGUGAAUACAACAGCUUGAAUAUGGCAAUCAUUUAACAGUACUACCAUAGGUAAGAACACCAUGUUGGACUCCUGCACUGUUGACAAUGGACAGAGUCGGGAUGAUGCCCUUGUAAGAGACACCAGAGAGAUCCCUCAGUCUUUCCACCACACAUGGACACAGCAAAAAUACAGCUCACAAUGGUCACCUGUAGAGUCAGGUGUAGAGGAGUGCAAAAGGGCUGCCUGCACGCUGGAGAGCAGCAUAAUCCAUUCGACGAUGGAAGACCUGGAAUGGAGCUCACUGCAGAGCUCCACUGGCAGCCAAAGGGUCUAUGCUGGAAUGCUGAAGUCUGAGCUGGAAGCUGAGAGACAGACAUCCCAAGGUGAUGGCAAAGACUAGUGCUCCUCCAAAGAAGCUGAAGUGAGACGUUCUUCUUCUUCCCCCCUUUUAUUCCAUUUAGGCUAGAAGCUUAUUGCCUGGUGUCACUCAAAUAUAAAUAAAGAGUAAAAUACAUGAUAGGUAACAGGAAAUAGGAAAUAGAUCUUUUGCAAAAGAAAUGGGGCCUAGGGAUGGAGGAAGGGGAGAGGGAGGAAUGGGAAGAAAGGGGAUGAAGAGAGAAUUAAGAUGUGUUAUAGACAUGUACCAACUCCUUAUGAAGAAUGUCCUCAUGGUGAACUGCAACCAUACACUAAAAAAAAUUAAAAUUUAAAAAGAAAGAAAAUAUACCACAACAAUUUUAUAUUUUGAAAGUCAGGCAUCUCCUAAAGAGUUCUAUUUCCAUUUGAAUAUUUCAUAAAACUGGUUACUUUUCAUUAUCUUUUUGUUUCCAUUAAGUUUACCAUUUCUGAUUUGUCUUCAUGCCUUUUAUUGAACUGUUCUUCAGAGCUCUUUCCAUAUUAUACAAAUGACCACUUUGGCCUUCAACUGGAACUCAUCUAGCAUUUUUGAUCUUUGCUUUAGCUUUACUAUGGUCAGUAAUGUCUUAUUUUCUUAUUUUGCCAUCCAAUGUGAUGUGGAUGAUUAGCUGUGCAAAGGCACAUUACAGAUAAAUGCAGUAUGCGAUCUUGGUUUAGAUCUUGGACUGCAUUCUUUUUUAUUCUGUGAACAGCAUUCUAGGGAUUAUGGGCAGAAUGUCAAUGGUGUAUUGAUGGGUAGAGCUGAGAUAAUAUUGUUGCGUGGGUGUUAUGUCCUGGUUUUGAGCACUGAGCUAAAGUGAUAUAAUUCUAUUCAUCUUAUGAAAUGUGCACUAAAGUCUUAAGCAUGACAUAUAUGACUUAAAUAAUGCACAAAAUUUUCUAUAAAUAUUUGUGGAGUAUAGAUUCAAGUGCAUGGGAACAAUUUGUACUCUUUUGCAAUUUUUUUAUAUGCUUGAAAUUCUGUCAAAGUAUGGCACUUCAAAAAUGCAAAAUUUUUCAAACUGAAAACAAUAAUUGCCACUUUUAUUCCUAUGGAAACAUUGCCACAGCUUACAGGGAAGCUUUUAUUCAAUAUUUCAGUGAAAAAUAUUGUCACCUGAAAACUUCGCACACAUUCUACAAAUCAUUAAGGCACACAGCAGAGGCUAACAGGAAAACAUUCCAUAGGUCAUUCAACAAAAACAAAUAUUUUAGAUGGACAAAAAAUCAUGAUUCUUCAUGAUUCUCCUGGAGCAUGCACAUUAAAAGAGAAUGAGAUACAUUUGUCCAACACAAAUUUUCCACUAAGUAAAAAUGUUGACAUUACCAAGAGUUAAUACAAAGCAGUGGAGAUCUUUAGAUUUUAAAGUAUAAAUAGUGAUCAUUUCUAUAACACCUUGCUACUAUCUUGGGAAAGACAUGCCUUAUGCCAGCACUUCCAAUACAAAACCUGUGUGCACCAGAGUCCGUGACAGCAGAGGACAGAGCAGGUUCACUGGGCACAGCUAUAUUCAGGAAGUCACACAUCGCCUGUUCAUACAUAUUGCUGGAUAAAUUCAGUGGAGUUCUCUACUGUGUGUACAUGAAUGAAAUAGGGCUAUGCACGGUGCAGGAAUGAACCUUUGGGAAAAUGUAAAAAAAAAAAAGUGGAGGCACGAAAUCGCUAUCUCAUUUCAGUCACUGUGCCUGAGUGCUGGUGUUCUUCAGAGUGUGAUAUUUCCCAGGAUGUUAGGGGCUAGGAAGGGGCCUUGGGCUGGCCCACAUCCACACACAUCCAUGCAACUGACUUCACUUACUUAGCGUUUGACCCCUGUGCAGCCUGUGCCCUCCCCGUGAUAUUUCAUGCACUCCAGGGGCUCAUAGGAAAGUUCUCCCAAUUGUUUCUUUGGAUGUGCUUAUGUAAUUGUAGUUGUUUUCGUAGGCAGGCAAAGAAGCAACGUUGUUUGAAAGUUAUUCUCAAUCCCGCAUGUGGAUUCUCUCAGGCAUCUAGAGUUGAAAAUUACAGGUGCAUUGGGUACGAGGACCAAGGAAUAAUGAGCCUACGAGUCCGGGUCCAGCGUCUCUUCCCACACUCAACCUCUCUGUGCCGCUCACCAUCUGGCAUCGCAGAGCACAGAGGUGAGCUUCUAUUCCUCUCACACCACGAUACAGUCGAUCAGAGACUGGAGACCUAGCUGAGGAGAAGGGACACCAUUGCUAUGUUUGGAAGUGAGACCCUGGAAAGCCUUUGAUACCAAGUGGGCGCCAUUUCCUGUUAGGGGCAGAGUAGACUGUGCCCACCCUACUUCACACUAUUCCAUGAGCUACCAGAGGUUCUCCUCGAUAUCAGCCCUUCUUAAGCCUGGAUUCUCCUAUGUUUAUUCCAUCUUUAUCCUGUUUUUUUUCUCCCAUCUCUCAAUAUAUAGAUUAGGGACAAAGUAAAUAUUUUGGAUGAACAAAAUCAAAAGGAAGUUAUCCUAUUCCAUCACUGUUGAAAAUGCAAAUUAAGAGAAUGAGAUGAAUUUACACAACCCAAUCCAGGAAUAAUUACCAAUUCUGAGAUUAUUAAGCGUUAAUGAGGAUAUAGAUCAAAGGCAGCCCACACACAUUGCUGCUGAAAGUAUAAAUUGAGUAAUCAUUUUAGAAAGUUGGUUUUUCUUGGGUAAAACGUAUCUCAACACAAAGCAAUUCUGUUUUUAUAGUUAUAACCUCAAAUGCAUGCAUAUGAGUUCAAGGAUCCAUUUACAAGAAAGGUCAGGGCAGCUUCCUUCAUUCUAGCCAAAUAGGAGACCAUCCAUUAACGAUUUAUGAAGAUUGCUUUAUGAGCAGUCAAUGGAAUUAUGUAGUACCUGGAAAUGAAUGAAGUAUAGCAACACACAAAAUAUAAAUUAAUAUUUUAGAAAAUGAAGCUUAAAAGAAGAGAGAUACCCAAGAACCAGGGCACCUCCCUCAUUCAUGUCACUUAAUACUCAUGUUUUUCAGACUUGUGGAAUCUCUCAAGACAUUAACUGUUAAGGAAAGUUGCUGAGGCUGGCCCAAAUUCUGUCUGCCCCAAAUGCUUUCUCUUUGUCUUUCUUAGCAUGGAACUUCUGUGCCUUUUGCACCCCACCCUGUGUUAUCCCGUGCUCUCCAAGGGCUCAUAGAAAACUUAGGGUUAAGUUUUCUCAUCCCAAUUCUUCCCAAUUGUUUCUUUGGAAUUAUUCAUGCAAUUGUAAUUAAUAGUUUUUACUGGCAUGUAAUUGUGGCAAAUCUAUUUAAAAGUUACUCUCCAUCCCUUGUGUAGAUAGAUACUGUCAUGGAUCGAGGGUUGAGUUGAAAAUCACAGUAGCUCUGGGAAAAAGGACCAAGAAAUAACACACCUAUACGUCAGGGCUCAAUGUGUCUUCCAAGUCACAGGGCAGACAUGAAAUUCCACUGGGGCCUUGGCAUCAUGUUAUCACAGAGCACACAGGACAGUCAAUUUUACUUUCUUGGCAAGACACAGGACAUUAGAGACUGGAGGGAUGAGGGGGUAGAGGAAAGUGACUUGGAUCCUAAAUUUAGAGAUAAUACUGUGAAAAGACCAAACAAAAGAGGCAUCAUUUCCUCUCAGGUACAGAAUGGAUCUGUCCGCCUCAUCCUGUGCAAACACAGCAGCUUCUUUAUAUAAUCACUUUUAAAGACUGAAUUCUUAUUUAUUUCUUCCCCAUACUCUUCCUCCUUUUGUGGUUUGUAAUUCACUGGUCUUAAAUUCAUUUGCACAAAUAAAACAUUUGUACAGGUAUUUCUAAAAACUUUGAAUAAUGAAAUAAAAGUUUCCAGCAGAAUAUAUGUAUUAGAACAGUUUGAUUUCUUCCUAUUAUAUACUUGAGACUACUUUUAGGCCCUAUUUCCAUCCUCCUGCUUUAGAAGAUUUCAGGGAGAAAAGUAGUUGCUAAUUACCUAGCACCUCACAAUUGGGAUCCUGGGAGUAGUUAUUGACUGAAAUACAGUCAUCCUGGUGCAUGCUGAACAUAUGGAUCUUUCCCUCAUAUGAGCCCUGGACUCUAGAACAAAGCUAAGCAAGUGUCCUACUGACAAUCAGA